Molecule: unclassified non-coding RNA, 614 nt
Filed under: Hevea brasiliensis (rubber tree)
Lineage: Eukaryota; Viridiplantae; Streptophyta; Magnoliopsida; Malpighiales; Euphorbiaceae
Source: RNAcentral
AGUUUUUAUUCAGGAAGCUAUAAUCUGGAAUGUCCAUCUUUGAAAAGGAUCAAGAUCAAUGGCUGUCCCAAAAUUGAUUUAUCCAAUAAUGCACCUUUCUUUGAUCAUAAGGAGCUCUCCAAUUUGGAGUUGUCAUUAGAUGGCAAGGCCACAAAGAUGAUGAUGCAAUUACCAUCAGCCUUCCUUUCGCGAGUAAAAUUUCUUGAUAUUCACCGUUUUAGGGGCAAAUCAGAAAUGUCUCUAUCUGCUUUCCUUCGAGGAUUUCUGAAUAUGGAAACGCUACAUUUAAGCGUCUCUUCUCUCAAAAACCAACCAUUCCGAGAUGAGGGACUUGGUGAUCAUGUGGAAGAUGCCUUGCCACUUCCACGUGCAAAAAACGUGCUAAUAAGUUGUGUUGACGGUUUGAAGCAUAUUUUGAGGGAACACUCUCAACUGUACCCAAUUCUGCAAUAUGUUGAGGCUUUGCAAGUUUAUUUUUGUCAUGAUUUGAUUAGUCUAGCAGUCCCUUCUGCAUCUUUCCAGAAUCUCACAACCCUGGAUGUAGAAAAUUGCAAUGGAUUGAUAAACUUGUUGACAUCAUCUGUAGCCAUAAGUAUGGUGCAACUUGUGACAAU